CUUUCCCUCUGGCGGCAGGCCUAACACAUGCAAGUCGAACGGUAACAGGAAACAGCUUGCUGUUUCGCUGACGAGUGGCGGACGGGUGAGUAAUGUCUGUGAAACGGCCUGAUGGAGGGGGAUAACUACUGGAAACGGUAUCUAAUACCGCAUAACGUCGCAAGACCAAAGAGGGGGACCCUCGGGCCUCUUGCCCUCGGAGGUGCCCAGAUGGGAUUAGCUUGUUGGUGGGGUAACGGCUCACCAAGUCGACGAUCCCUAGCUGGUCUGAGAGGAUGACCAGCCACACUGGAACUGAGCCACGGUCCAGACUCCUACGGGAGGCAGCAGUGGGGAAGAUUGCACAAUGGGCGCAAGCCUGAUGCAGCCAUGCCGCGUGUAUGAAGAAGGCCUUCGGGUUGUAAAGUACUUUCAGCGGGGAGGAAGGGAGUAAAGUUAAUACCUUGGCUCAUUGACGUUACCCGCAGAAGAAGCACCGGCUAACUCCGUG
This 490-nucleotide ribosomal RNA is filed under the name uncultured bacterium. Its description in RNAcentral is "partial 16S ribosomal RNA". It matches the Rfam family "Bacterial small subunit ribosomal RNA", at positions 36 to 507 of the family's 1533-position model. The record is from RNAcentral.